GACGAACGCUGGCGGCGUGCUUAACACAUGCAAGUCGAACGGAAAGGCCCUGCUGUUGUGGGGUGCUCGAGUGGCGAACGUGUGAGUAACACGUGAGUAACCUGCCCUUGACUUUGGGAUAACUUCAGGAAACUAGUGCUAAUACCGGAUAGGAGCUCCUGCUGCAUGGUGUGGGUUGGAAAUUUUCGGCGGUUGGGGAUGGACUCGCGGCUUAUCAGCUUGUUGGUGGGGUAGUGGCUUACCAAGGCUUUGACGGGUAGCCGGCCUGAGAGGGUGACCGGCCACAUUGGGACUGAGAUACGGCCCAGACUCCUACGGGAGGCAGCAGUGGGGAAUAUUGCACAAUGGGCGGAAGCCUGAUGCAGCGACGCCGCGUGCGGGAUGACGGCCUUCGGGUUGUAAACCGCUUUCGCCUGUGACGAAGCGUGAGUGACGGUAAUGGGUAAAGAAGCACCGGCUAACUACGUG
RNAcentral lists this ribosomal RNA (468 nucleotides) under uncultured bacterium. RNAcentral describes it as "partial 16S ribosomal RNA". It matches the Rfam family "Bacterial small subunit ribosomal RNA", at positions 28 to 507 of the family's 1533-position model. The record is from RNAcentral.